This 426-nucleotide ribosomal RNA is filed under the name uncultured Cellulomonadaceae bacterium. RNAcentral's name for it is "bacterial SSU rRNA". It matches the Rfam family "Bacterial small subunit ribosomal RNA", at positions 356 to 774 of the family's 1533-position model. Lineage: Bacteria; Bacillati; Actinomycetota; Actinomycetes; Micrococcales; Cellulomonadaceae. The record is from RNAcentral.
GGGGAAUAUUGGACAAUGGGCGCAAGCCUGAUCCAGCCAUGCCGCGUGGGUAAAGAAGGCCUUCGGGUUGUAAAGCCCUUUUGUUGGCAAAGAAAAGCAGCCGGCCAAUACCCGGUUGUUCUGACGGUACCCAAAGAAUAAGCACCGGCUAACUACGUGCCAGCAGCCGCGGUAAUACGUAGGGCGCAAGCGUUGUCCGGAAUUAUUGGGCGGAAAGAGCUCGUAGGCGGUUAGUCGCGUCUGCUGUGAAAACUCGAGGCUCAACCUCGGGCUUGCAGUGGGUACGGGCUGACUAGAGUGCGGUAGGGGUGACUGGAAUUCCUGGUGUAGCGGUCGAAUGCGCAGAUAUCAGGAGGAACACCGAUGGCGAAGGCAGGUCACUGGGCCGCAACUGACGCUGAGGAGCGAAAGCAUGGGGAGCGAACA